CUGAUUCUGAUGAAUCAGCUGGCCUGGGUCAUGCCUCUCAGGGAGAAAACCUUUGAGUCCACAGAGCUGCUCACAGAUACCACUGCCUGUGUGUAACUGCUGUAGACCACUGAGGCAGACCAGAGAGCAGAUAGGUGCUAAGCACCAGUGACAUUCUGAGGUCAUGGCACGAAUCACAGUGGGGCCUUGCCCGGGUCAGCAGUGCCCAGAGUCAGGGUCCUCCGCUGCCUGAGGCGUCAACAUGCCUGCCUGCAAUGUGUUUGUGCACGUGCGUGCACAUGUGUAUGUGGGGCCUAGGGGAUGCCAAAUUCCAGGGGCCAGAAAGAGCUUGGGAUAAAAAGAAACUUCAAGGGGACGGCUUUGACCUGGGCUGAGUCUGCCUGUGCCAUCCAACUGGAGUCUCAAGUCCUGAGGCAGGACGUCCAGAUGCCCCAGUGCAGGGUCCUCCUGAUCAACACCUGCUCCCCUGUACUCAUUAGCAACCUCACCCACCCUACUCUCAAAGCACACUUGGCUCUCGUAUCCAGGAGCUCUGCAUCUGUAGAUUCAGCAACAGCAGAUGGAAAAUAUUCAGAAAAUAAAUUGGACGGUUAUGUUUCUAUUGAACA
This 608-nucleotide long non-coding RNA is filed under the name Homo sapiens (human). RNAcentral's name for it is "HSALNT0389596". The record is from RNAcentral. Lineage: Eukaryota; Metazoa; Chordata; Mammalia; Primates; Hominidae.